Neomonachus schauinslandi (Hawaiian monk seal) is the source of this 309-nucleotide long non-coding RNA. RefSeq lists it as uncharacterized. The transcript is spliced from 3 exons. NCBI's taxonomy places the organism in Eukaryota, Metazoa, Chordata, Mammalia, Carnivora, Phocidae. The record is from RefSeq and is a predicted model, not a curated record.
GACUCUGGGCACCGGAGCAGAGGCACUUGGGCAACGUUACGUAGAGCCUUAAAAGCGGCCGGACGGGAGGGAAGCGCUCAGCUCGGGCGCCUGGGACUCGGGAAAUGUCGCGCAAAAGAGCUGCUGGAUCCACAAGCUUCAUUCUGAUGAUGCUUCUUCAUGCUGGCAGUGGUGGUUCUUCCCGAGAGUAGCAGCCAAACCCAGUUUGCAGUUUUUCCAGCACAGGCAGAACCAGGAUACCUACCACACACUUGACUUAAAAGAAAAUUCUAGGGGUGCCUGGUGUCGGUUAAGUGUCUGACUCAUGAG